AGGCACCGUGCCAGUGACUAUGGGUACAAAGACGGAUAAAGCAUGAAUUUGCCUGGACAUAACUCACAGCUUACCAGAGCAGGAAAACCUUGGUACCAUCGGAAAGCAGUGCUGAUUCAGACCCCAAGUGAGCAUUCUUGGAUUUCAUGCAAGAAAUAAUUCAGGGUGAGUCCAUACAGUAAAAUGAAAACAAGUUUAUUAAGAAAGUAAAGAAACAAAAGAAUGACUACUCCAUAGACACAGCAGCCCUGAGGGCUGCUGGUUGCCCAUUUUUAUGGUUAUUUCUUGAUGAUGCUAAACAAGAAGUGGAUUAUUCAUGCCUCCCAUUUUUAAAUCAUAUAGGGUAAUGUGCUGAUGUUGCCAUGACAUCUGCAAACUACCAUGGCACUGGUGGGGGUAUAGCUGUGA
Molecule: long non-coding RNA, 408 nt
Filed under: Homo sapiens (human)
Lineage: Eukaryota; Metazoa; Chordata; Mammalia; Primates; Hominidae
Description: HSALNT0179631
Source: RNAcentral